This is a non-coding RNA of Gasterosteus aculeatus aculeatus (three-spined stickleback), 1205 nucleotides long. The record is from RefSeq and is a predicted model, not a curated record. NCBI's taxonomy places the organism in Eukaryota, Metazoa, Chordata, Actinopteri, Perciformes, Gasterosteidae.
UUCAAUAGCGUGGUGCAUUUGUUUUACGGAUCACAUUUCCGACAGUAAAAUAAAGAAGAUGAACAUUUUGCCACCAUAAACCCCACGUUAAAUCAUCAUUUUUUAUAUUGAAAGUUACGACAUAACUAGAAAUUAGCCCCAACAACCUAAAAAAAAGCUGAUCUGCCAAUCGGUCUGUGUGUCUUGCUCCUUGGACCCGUUGCCCGCCUGCCCUGCGCAUUACAUACAAAUACAUGAUUUCCAACACACAACUUUCUCAAAUAUACAUAUAUCGUCCCAGAUUAACUGGGACGCACGGACGCCCUCUAGUGUAACUGCGGUCAUGUGGACCGCAUUUCGAAAUGGAAUGUGCCUCUAUUUGAGGUGUUACGGUAAAAGGACUUACAGCCAAGGCACUAAUCGCCUAUAUGUAAAGUGUCAUAUCCCAAUCUUUGAACUGUCUUUAAAACAGAUCCAAAAACGGUAACACUCUGCUGUCACUUGAUCCUAGUUCAUGUUGACUUCCUCUAUGCUCAUGUACAUUUCCAUGAAAUAUUACUGUAUAGUUUUUGAGAAAAGAUGAAAAUCCGUUAAAAUGGCAUGAUAUUUGUCUUUUCUCAAUCUUUGAACUGUCUUUAAACCAGAUCCAAAAUGGGUACGACUCCUAUAUAAAUAUAACCAACUAAUAUUCAUUCAUUCCAAUAAUGUAACAUGGAAUACCUCAAAAGACCCACGUACUAACUGAAAAUAGUGCACUACCACGGUUCUACCAUGCGCCCUUGUGGUCAAACCUGCUCACUGCACGUAUCUACUGGAGUAUAAGUGGGUUGGGAGGAGUAAAACAACUGGAGUUCAGCAGACAAACAUGGGCGAGGGAGCUUUUAUUAGAUCUGCUCAAAGAUGCAACCCCAACGAUCUAUAGAUGUUAGAAACAACUGCGGGGUAGUUGUUCGUUUUUCGGUACUUCACAACUGAGAUGAUAUCAUGGCAAUAAUGGAAAACUUGACCAACUCCGUUUCCAAUGAAUGGGAAUACUAUUAUGAUUACCUUGAUCCUGUGAUCGUGGACGAGAGCAAGCUGAAAUACAACAAAUACUCAAUUGUUAUCAUAUUUUGGAUCAUGCUGGCUGCCUUUGUGGCAUUCCUCUUUCUCAGUUUGAAUCUAAUGUCUCAUAGUGGAAUGCCAAGAAUUCAAAGAUUCAGAAGAAGCCACAGCACAGCAACUGC